RNAcentral lists this long non-coding RNA (14228 nucleotides) under Nicotiana tabacum (common tobacco). Its description in RNAcentral is "long non-coding RNA (NTAB_LNC015532)". The record is from RNAcentral. Lineage: Eukaryota; Viridiplantae; Streptophyta; Magnoliopsida; Solanales; Solanaceae.
GCCUACUAUGGUUGAAGUUCUGGAUAUUCUAAAGGAGAUUCAGACUAGUGAACUUGACAAUGAGAAGAGAGCUAAAAUAGUAGCAGUUCCUCCUUUCCCUGAAUCAGAAAAUUUGUUAUUGUCGAAGCAAGUCAAAUCCCUACCUUCACCAAAUUCUUUGAGUGAUAAAUGGUUUACUUGCUCUGAUAUAACUAGUACAACUAGUUAAAGUUCUAUAGCCCCUUUCUUUACAGUCAGGACAUCAUGCAGAAGAAAACUGAUGCCUUUUUUCAUGAUUUUGAGAAAUACAAUGUGUAAAGAUUUCAAUGUCUAUUAUCACCAUCCCAGUAAAACAUUGGGAAAUUCUAGUGCUAAGAUAAGUGUCAAACUUCCAGAUCACUGUUCAAUAAUACAAUUGCCAAUUCCUUUGCCUACACCAUCUAAACUAUAUGCUAGUGACUUGUUUGAACUGUUGACUUCUAAUAUUCUGCUAGAAUGGGAGUUGUCCAAUGAUUGUCAUCACUGUCUUGAGAAAGGAGGGAAAUGCCUGAUCGGUCGCGAACACAAAUUUCAUUGUUCCAAAGGUAUAUGCAACUGAAACUUGUGGGAAAAAAACUAUUGUUCUGCUUGUUUUCUAUUGAGGUUUAUCUAAAAUAGCUUCUUUUUUUACUUCAGGAAAAAAAGAAAAAAGUAAGCUGAGAAUGAUUCUGGCUGCAGGUAGUUGCCUGUUAUUAACAAUAUUUGUUACCAAUAACCACAUUUGUAGUUUAGAAUAGUACAUUUCAAAAGAAUCAGACUCUGAUUACUUUGUCUUAUGUUUUCUAGUUUUUAGUGGAGUUGGUUUGAUCCUAGUAUCUUCCAUUGUCAUCCUUUCUAUAUGGCGUUACAAGAGAAGGAAGAAUGAUUCUACACAACUUCGUCGGGAGCUUGAGGUAGAGAGCAGAUAUUUUGGAUUUCAGGUUCCAGUUUUUUCCUAUGCUGAACUUAAAGAAGCCACCAAUAAUUUUGAUUCCUCAAUGAGCUUGGAGAUGGAUGUUUUGGGACUGUAUAUUAUGGUAAGUAUAACUUUAAAUGUAAGACUUAUGCUAAAAAGACAAAAACACUCAGUAUCUCACUGUUGUUGCAUGUUAUGAAUUAGGAAAACUAUAUGAUGGAAGAGAAGUUGCAGUAAAAUGCCUAUAUGAGCACAACUGCAAGAGAAUGCAACAGUUCAUAAAUGAAAUCGAAAUUCUUACUCGGCUGCACAUCAAGACGAAGCCGUGAACUUCUCCUUGUUUAUGAAUACAUUCCUAAUGGAACAGUUGCUGAUCAUCUCAACGGCGAAGGAGCAGUAGAGGGAUCGCUCAUGUGGCCCAUCCGUAUGAGUAUUGCAGUAGAAACAGCCAGUGCAUUGGCCUACCUGCAUGCUUCUGAUGUAAUACACCGCGAUGUGAAGACUAAUAACAUUCUUCUUGACGACUUUCGUGUCAAAGUUGCAGAUUUUGGGCUGUCAAGACUUUUCCCUAAUGACGUUUCUCACAUAUCCACUGCUCCUCAAGGGACUCCUGGAUGCGUCGAUCCUGAGUAUCAUGAAUGUUAUCAACUUACUGACAAAAGUGAUGUUUAUAGUUUCGGGGUUGUCCUUAUCGAGCUGAUAUCAUCAAUGCCAGCUGUGGACAUAACUAGGCAUAAGCACGAGAUCAAUUUGGCUAACUUGGCGAUAAACAGGAUACAAAGAUGUGCAUUUGAUGAACUGAUUGAUCCAUUGCUCAGGUUUACAUCAGAUACACUUGUUAAGAGAAUGAUCAUGUCUGUCGCGAAGCUAAAGUAUUGGACAUUUUGAGAAAUAUUCAGAGUGGAAAAUUCCAAAAUGAGAAGACAUUAGAGACUAGUGCUAGUUUUAACUUAAUCAAGUCUAAGGGUUUGCUCUCUUUCAAGAUCUCAAGUUCGAAACCCAUUGGAUGCAAACAAUUUUUGAGGGCCAUCGGACUGGGUAAAACCUGAAUUAACCGUGGUGCACUUGCGGGAAACUCCUUGCCGAGGGCCUGUGCACCCCCAGGAUUAGUCGGGGCUCGAAGAGACUCGGACACCCAGUGCAAAUCAAAAAAAGAAACCGUCUAAGAGUGUUAAUAUCCCUCCUUUUUCGCCUGAAUCAGAUGAAGUUGCACUGCUCAAGAAAGUUAAGUUCUUAAGUCCAUCAGAUACUAAUAGUGAGAUAUGGAUUAGUGGCUCUACUACAACUAGCACUGGUGAGUGAAUAUCUUAAGAAUUUACAAAAGAAUGUAUUUUCAGACUUCAGAAUCUACUAUAGGCAAUGUACAUAUAAUAAAUAUGUUAUGCUACUUUUGCUUUUUAACUGUCAAUGUUCCUGAAAUUAUUUCCUUUCUAAAACAUCAAUGUGUUUUUUGUCUUGUUCCUGUGCCUUGACACAAACUACUGGCUUCCAAGUUAAAAGUUGGAAAAACUGAGGAAAAUGUUGGGAUCAAAAAUAACAAAGCGUCAUGCGGAAGCUAACAAAGCAAACAUUAGCGACGAUAAAUCAACAAACUCAGUGGAAUCCCACAAGUGGGGUCUGAGGAGGGUAAUAUGUACGCAGACCUUACCUCUACUUUAAGAAGGUAGAGAGAUUGUUUCCGAUAGAGCAUCGGCUCAAGAAUAGUGAGUGAGUGACAAAUUCUCUUAUGAGGGAGCAACAAAAAGUAGAGGGGAAAAAAAGCAACCAUCAAAUUGUGUUUAGUGGCCUUAGUUAAACUCAAACUUGGUUAUUUAUAAUAGGAGAAAUUCCUUAGAUAUAGUAGGCUAUAUUCAUCAAAAGGCCAAAAACAAGGACACAACAACUCAUUCUCUCAAUUAACGUAGGACGUUUUAACAUUUUUGCAUGUCAAGGGAUCGACAUUUAAAACGUGUACAGUAAUUAGGGGUCCAACAUUUGGUAAACCAAAAAUAGAUAUGAGCCCGACUCUAAUAUCAUGUUGAAUACAAUGGACAUUAGGAUUAAUUCAAUCGAAAAAACUAAACUUGUGAUAUGAGGAUUACCUAAGAUCAUAUAACUAGAUGGCGGAAGUAAGAUUUCCACCAAGGGGAUUCAAAAAAUUUAAAAAGUAAACACGCAAAGAAACUAAAGGGAUUUAACGCUUACUAUUAUACAUGAAAAAUAUUAACUUUAUUUAGUAAGUGUAAUUUUCGACGAAAAGGGUUCAGCCGAACCCCUUUCUGCCCACCUAACUCGCCCCGGAGACAACAAUCCACUCCAUCAACCAAACCUAUGAGGGUCACUUAACAAAACACAUUUUCAUAAUUAUUGUUCAUUUUAACUCUCAUUGAUGCAUUCAUCAGUUUUGUGGACAGAAAACCUGAUGCCACAAGCUUCAUUUAGCAGUCAAGUCACUAGGAACUUGAAAGUGAUGAGACAUUUUGACGUAUAUAAUUCGUCUAAAAGAAUCCACAGAAAUAUCAAGGAAACAUAAAUACUACUACAUCUGUUUCAAUUCAUAUGACGUAGUUUAUCUAGCACAAAAUCAACAAAAAAAGAAGAUUUUUGAAACUUGUGAUAAUAAACAUGUCAUAACAUUGUCCGGAUUAAUGAAACUUGGUCUUAACCGUGUUCAAUAAGGAUAAAGUGACAAGUUCAAAAUUAAAUUGUUCCACAUAUAUAAACGUGUCAAUCUUUUCUGAACGUAAUCAAUGCAAAGAUAAAGAUAGACAUGUUUUGUUCACAUGAGUGAAAAUGAUAGAGAACUGCUAUUUUCUAUCCUUUCUAAUAAGACCUAGUCAAAUGAUAAGAUGAGUGGAAAAUUUUCUCCAAUUUCUUGUCUAUACAGAAGGUCCCUCUUUUUUGAUGUCUGCUUCUUCAAGACUUUACUAAUAAGUUCCAAGUCAAGCUGAGAGUGUUAGAAAAUUUGGGAAGAUCAAUCAUUUUCUUUGAAGUCUAAGUGGAGGAAAAUAUUUUUAUUUUAUUUUCUACCCGGUGUUCGGUAUCUGCAUUGGAGCCCGACUAUAUCCGGAUUCGCAUCGCGUAUGUUUCAUUUGGAGGAAAACGCUCCUUACCAAAAAAAUUUUCAUACCAAGUGGAGGAAAAUAUACUUCUUUACUUCUUUCAAUUUGGUUCAAAUUAAAUAGCUAUAGUACUUAGUGAGUAUUACCAUUCUACCAUGUAAAAUAUCUAGUAUAUGUAUCAUAAUUUAAUUGUGGACUCUUCCCUUUGUACAUGUAUUAAACCAUAUUAUAUUCUUACAUUAAUUUCCUAAUACAUUACCUUAAAAAUUUGUUAGUAUCAUGAUGUAGGACGAAAUGUCAAACUAACAAUAAUAUAUUUAUAAAAGAAAAACACAAACAUUUUCCAGUCAAUUUCCUACAUUUAUGGAGUGGACUGAUUAGUCCGCCUUGUGUGUGCACCGAUCAUUUCGUCCCUUCUGCUCGCCAUGCCUUCGUGGCCAGGUCUUGCCUACAUCGCAGCUCUUAACUUUAAGAGUUCUGCAUAUAUAGUCGAUCAUAUUAAUUAUUUAUUUUUUUUAGUCGGUGUAUAAAUUAUAUUUUAAUUCUUUAUUCUUACGAGAAUCUCCAUACGCGACUAUAUCCAUAUAUAUACAUAAAUUAUAUGUACAUUAUAUAUUCGCGACUAUAUUUAGUUUAAAGGUGUUAUGUAUAAUGUCUACCUCAACUUAUGUUUAAUGUCUUUGGUGAUUUUGUUAAACAAGGGACUAAAAUCAUAAAAUAAAAAUAAAAAUAAAAAGACAAAAUACCAUUUCCGACCAGCUCUUACGUGAGGCUAGCCGGAGAUUACUUUCCCGGCGAGGUAGGUUAGGGUUUGAAGAUGAAAAUGGGUUUAACGAAUGAGGAGGAAGAGGAAGAGGAAUGGAAAAUGGGGAAGGGUUUGUUGAACCCUAGCUGGUCGGAAAAUGUAAAGGGGAUCACCGGAGUAAUCUUCCGGCGAAGAAUUGAUUUCCCGAAAAAGCAGCGGUUUCUCCGUUCAAAGUCCCUCUCUUUUUUCUUAGGCUCAAAAACUUGUGAAACUGAAAAGGAAGCACAAUUGAAGAACACACGGCUUGAUUUUUAGAAGUUGAGGUAUCUAUUUGAGUACUCAUGCAAUUAAGAACUUUUUACUUUAAAAAUCUGUGCAAAUAUUGGUGUCAAUUUGAGUAUUAAGCCAUGGUUAUAUGCACUCUUGUCCAGAGUUGGAUUUAGGAUUUUAGUAUAAUGUACUGGAUUUUUAAGGUUGUUAGUACUGAAGUUGUUUCUUUAGCUGAGGGUCGAAAAUAACCUCUCUGACCGUCAGGUAGGGGUAAGACUGCGAACACCUCACCCUCCCAAUGCCCCACUUGUGGAAAUACACUGGGUCGUUGUUGUUGUAGUACUGAAGUUAUUGCAUUUAAAAUUAUGGAUUCAAAUAUAAUAUUUGUUGACAUUUUAGUGCUUUCACAUAAUAAAUCUAUACUACGGGUCGAAAUUACUGGCUUCGAAUAAAUCCGUGCCGAAUCCGCCCUGGGUUUGUUUCACAAGCUAGCAAUAAAAAUUAAUGAUUGAUUCUUUCUCAUAUUUUUGAAGAAGAUGGCUUGGAACAUAGCAAUAAUUUCUAGCUUUCUAUAUAUUGACAAACUUGAAAAACUUUCUUGGUAGUUUCCAAUGAGAAAGUGAGCAAAUGGAAGGUUUGAUUUAUAUUUUAUAAUACUAUUUAAGUGCUUUUUAGGGUGUGACUAGAACCAUUUCCUUUUUCGCUUUCACCUUUGGAUGUAUGUGCAAACCAUUUAAAUUUAUCUUUAGAUAACUGAAAAUGAAUAUAGCCGGGGGCGGAUCAAAGAUUUUAACUUUAUGGGUUCGUAAGUUUCUUAACCCACAAUUUAUUUGAUUUUCUAGGUUCAGAACAUAUUUUUUGUACCUAUAGGGUUUGAGCCGAAGCUAUUGGAUUCGGUUGAAGCUGCUCGUUAUGUUGUAGAUCCACAGCUGAAUAUAGCUUCUAUUUCUACAGUUUAGGUCAUCCAUUUUGGAGACUUUGGUUCUGAAAAUGAUGUGAAGUUGCUGUUGAUAUGCAGAGUCAAGAAGUCAAGUUUUUCUAGUGCUGUCAAUGACUAAGAGAGGCUAAUGUGAACAUUUCCUUUUUUUUUUCUUCACCUUCCUUUUCCCUAAUAAGUCUGGCCCAUGUUAUACGUUUGGUUCCACAUAGUGUUUCUUUUUGACAAAUUUACGACAAUUUUGAUCUUGUAAGGAAGUCUUGUGAGCUAGUUAGAUUUGUAACUCACAAAACUUCAGCUAGCCUUCCUCUUCUGGCUGUAGGAUUCACAAUAUGACUUUGGCUUAUUCUUUUAUUUGCCUCCUUUUAUCUCUUCUUCUGAUCUUAGUUCAGGCAACGGGCAGAAAUGAUUCUAUUUGUCCAAAGUCCUUUUCAUGUGGUGAAAAUCUUACUGACCUGAGCUUUCCUUUCUCUCUUUCCACACAACCGGACUGUGGAAUAAUUUCUAUUUCUGGCUGUGAUGCUAAAUCAUUUCCAAUAAUCCAACUGCUUCCUGGAGGAGAUUGGUACUAUGUUUUAGGGAAGAAUAAUUCAUCAGUUUGGCUUAGCGACCCGAAGCUUCAAAUGACGUUGACACAACACAAGUGCCAGGCUUUUAACAACAAUUUCUCCCUUCCGAACUCUCCUUCUAUUUCUUUUACUAUGCUUACGCUUUAUAACUUCUUCAAAUGCAACAGCACCAGCAAUAAUACGCCAAAUAUUACCCAGAAGAAGAAUGACACUUUCGCUGGUUAUAAAAUGUACAAUGGAUGUGAAGGCUUUAGCAUAUACUACAAGCGUCUCGGAGAUGAUAAAGUUAAAGACAUUCGAGCUGACAAUCUUCCUGACAACUGUUCACUUAUCAGAUUGCCAAUUCACUCACUAUCAAGUGAUGGAGAUUUGUUCCACUUGUUAGGUCCCGAAGUUCUAGUAGAAUGGGAACUGUCUGAUGACUGUUACCAAUGUCACUAUAGUGGAGGUCAAUGCCAGACUGAUAUUACCAACAACUUUCGUUGUCACAAAGGUAGACGUCUCCAAAUAAUCUACGUGUUCAAGGUCAAGUGCAUAUUCUUAGGGCCUUUUCUUGUUUUCGUAUCACAUAUCGAUAACAUAUUUAGUGUAUUGUCCCUUUUUCAGAUGCAAACACAACUAGAAGAAGUAUGAUGGGGCUGAUUCUGGCAGCAGGUAGUUAAAUAUAGUUUAUAGCUGCAAUUUAAUUACUUUUUUAGAGAUUCCAUCCAUAUCAUUUAAAUUUCAUUUUCAUAGUGGUAAAAGCUCAAAACCUUUCUCUAAUUAUUUAAAUUACACAAAGUGUACGGAUGGUGGAGUUAAGGGAAAAUGCUUUCUCCUUGCUAUUUCUUUUUUUUUCUUUUCCAAAGAACUGGAUUACUGACUUCUCUUUCAGUUUUUGGUGGAGUAGGAUUGGUGAUGAUAACUUGUUUAGUUGUCUACCUUAUCUUGCGUUACAAGAAGAGGAAAUUUAGUCCAUCCCGCUUCCUCUCAACAAAGAAAUUCUCAGAUAUAUUUAAGCAUGAUUUCGAAGGAGGCAGUAUAUUCUUUGGUGUUCCAGUCUUCUCUUAUUCAGAACUUGAAGAAGCCACAAAUGAUUUCAAUUCCUCUAGAGUACUUGGAGAUGGAGGUUUUGGAACUGUUUACUAUGGUGAGGAACUUCCUAAUCCAACUGAUUUAUGCUUCAACAAUUUCAUUUUUUUUUUGGCUAAUUCUUGUCCUUCACUGAACAGGAAAACUUAAGGAUGGAAGAGAGGUUGCUGUAAAGCGCCUUUACGAGCACAACUGCAAGCGAAUGGAGCAGUUUGUAAAUGAAAUUGAGAUCCUUACUAGACUAAGGCACAACAAUCUAGUCACCCUCUAUGGCUGCACUUCAAGCCGAAGCCGUGAACUACUCCUUGUCUAUGAAUAUAUUCUUAAUGGAACUCUUGCUGAUCAUCUCCAUGGUCGCAGAGCGAAGCAACGAUCACUCGCGUGGCCAAUCCGCAUGAACAUUGCUGUAGAAACUGCUGGUGCAUUGGCUUACUUGCAUGCAUCUGACGUAAUACACUGCGAUGUCAAGACUAAUAACAUACUCCUUGAUCACAAUUUUAGUGUUAAAGUUGCAGAUUUUGGGAUUUCAAGGCUCUUCCCAGAUGAUGUCUCUCAUAUUUCAACUGCACCCCGUGGAACCCCUGGCUAUAUUGAUCCAAAGUAUCAUGAAUGUUACCAGCUGACUAGUAAAAGUGAUGUUUAUAGCUUCGGGGUGGUCCUUGUCGAGCUCAUUUCAUCAAUGCCAGCUGUGGACAUGAAUAGGCAUAACCAAGAGAUUAAUUUGGCUAACUUUGCAAUAAACAAGAUUGUAAAAUGUGCAUUUAACGAGUUGAUCAAUCCAUCCCUGGGGUUCGAUUCAGACACCAAGAUUUGGGAAAUGACUACUUCUGUGGCAGAGUUGGCUUUUCUAUGCUUGCAGACAGAUAGGGACAUGAGGCCUACUAUGGUUGAAGUUUUGGAUACUCUAAAGGAGAUUCAGACUAGUGAAUUUGAUGAUGAGAAGAAAGCUAAAGUAGUAGCAGCUCCUCCUUUCCCUGAAUCAGAAGAUAUUUUAUUAUUGAAGCAAGUCAAAUCACUACCUUCACCAAAUUUUGUAACUGAUAAAUGGAUUACUUGCUAUGAUAUAAAUAAUACAAAGUAGUUCAAGUUGUAUACCCCCUUUCUUUAUGUUCUUGAUGUAAAUUUUGAGAGACUAUGAAUGUACUACAUAGAGAAGUUUCUUGAGCUAUGUAUCUAUGAAUGAAGGUGAUUCCAUUUUUAAUCUCAUUUUAUAAGAGUUCAAGUUAUAUACACUGGCAGUGGAAAAGCUUUAAUUCUGUGUUGGUUGGUUCCUUCCAAGAUGUUUAAUAUAUCAAUGUGAAUGGAAGUGCAUUGCGUUCAGUCUUAUUGUGGCUAACUAAUCGAUCAUUUGUGUGUUCUUGCUGCAGCAAAAGAAACUUGGGACUACUUUUGAAAAAAGCAAAAGAGUGUUUAUUUCUUUUGAGGUUGUAGUGGUCUUAAGAGUAUUUUUACUCGUUACUACACAAUAUAAAAUUCCUUGCUAUAGUGAUAUCAGUUGCUCUUCUUGGCCGUGGUUUUUCCCUUAUUCAGAAGGGUUUCCACGUAAAAUCUUAGUGUCAUUAUUGCUGCAUUUCUAUUCUUGUUGAUUUAACCAUAACUUAGUGUUCUGCAUUUAUCAAUAUUAUUUUUACGGGAUUUAUUCCCAACAGUGUGUACGCAGAUCUUAUCCCUACCAUGGGGUAGAGAGUCUGUUUCCAAUAUACCCUCGGCAUCCUUCCCUCCAAGAACUCCUCACCUUCCUCUUGGGGUGACUCGAACUCACAACCUCUUGAUUGAAAGUGGAGGGUGCUUACCACCAGAGCAACCUACCUUGUCAAGGUGGAACUCACAACCUCUAGUCACAGGUACAUGUCUAUAAUUAGCAGUAACUUUUAUCUGUAACUAGACUUGCACAAAAAUAUUCUGUUGUUCUGCUCAAACUUAGAAUUCUUAUAUAAGUUGAGGGGCAACUAUUUCAAUACCAUAACCAUAAAACGUAACCUGUUUAAUAUCUCAAGUGCUUUGCAGUUCUUGAUGGUUUUCUGAUCAUAGCAAUCUGCAUAGUGAUCCUCAUAAACUACUGUUGCAAGAAGGAAAAUAGAAGUUUUUUUAAUAUUCUCCAUGAAGCACCCCUUCUGAGCCCUCAACACGAAGCUUCGAGAUUGACGGCAGGGUUUUUUUUUGGGGGGGGGGGGGGGGGCUGAACUCCGGCAAGCUACCAUGAAUUUUGAUUCCUACAGAGAACUUGGAGGUGGAGGAUAUGGAACAGUGAACUAUGGUAAGAAGAUUUUCUAAAGCAAUCAUCAAAUCCUGUGUUCCGGCAACUAUGAAUGUAGCAACAGUAGCAAACGCUGGGAGUGAAAUAACCAACGACUCACCGGAAAAAAAAGGGUGUCCUAGACAUGACUCUUAUUAGAGAAUGUGAGGCUCGCCGGAGUUUUGCUUCCGGCAAGGAGGCUUGGGGUUUGAAACUGGUGAAACAGACAAGUAAUUAGAGAUAAUGAAAAAGAAAAAGAAAGAAAAAGAACAGAUGAAAUAAUUUUCUAUGCCUACCUAAAUUUUGAAUGGAAGUACAUGACCCUACAAUGAUUUUCAUCUCCUGUGUUAAUUUUUCACUGAUAGAUCAUGUAACUAUAAUAACAAUAAUAGACUACAAAACCAAAUCUCCAAGAAGAAUGAAAGAUGGUUGUUUUAUCCACAUCAGAGCAAUUGAAGAAUGUGCAUGGUUUGAAGUGUUCAAAACAUUUACUUUUUACAAAUUGAGGUAUCUAUUUGAGAACUCGUAGGAAUUAGAGGGCACAUCCAUUAGGAAUUUGUGCUAGUAUGGUUUCAAUUUGAGUGUAUAGUCAUACUGAUAUGCACUAUUGUUUCAAUCUUAGUCAUAGACUCUUAGGGGUCGUUUGGUUGGAAUACGAUUUAUACCGGUAUAAGUUAUGCCGGUAGAAGUUAUAUUGGGAUAAGUUAUGCCGGGAUUAGUUAUGCUGAGAUUGUUGUUUAUUCAUUGUUUGGUAUGUUGUAUUAAGAAUGACAAUUGCAUAAUUUCUAAGAAUAAGUUAUAAGUUAUACUGGUGCUAAUUACCCCACCUUCUAUAAGGUAUAAAUUAUCCUGGUGUUAAAAAUAACACCAGGAUAACUUAUACCUGGUUUGCUAACCAAACAUAGUAUUAAGGUGAUAUUAAAUUUUUAUACCACCCUUAUACCUUCUUAUACCUCAUACCAAACGACCCCUUAGUGUCUUGGAUUCUGGGUCAAGUGUUGCAUUAAGCUAGGGAUCAGUGUUAUCAAAAGCGGAAAAAAACUCUAAGGUACAUCGAGGUUUUAAGCGCAAAUAAAGUGUGGGCUUUAAUGAAGAAAGACGCAAAUGGAGAAAAAAAAAUAUAAAUAUGUAUGUGUAGUCUAAGACUAAUAGUUAUAAGCAUACAUAACAAAUAUAUGGAUAAAGAAAUUGAUUUUUUUUUUUUACAAUAAAGUGAAAUAUCAAUUGUUUAGGUUUGCCUUUUCAGCACUAUGCUCAUUGGCAAGGAAAAGUAUGCCUUAGAGCCUUGAUGACAAGACUAAAGCGCCCGCUAAGCGAUGCGAAGUGCUCAACAUGUUUUGAGCCUCACUUUAGUGCUUAAGCGCGCCUUUGACAACACUGCUAGGGAUUAAAAUUAAUGAUUGAUUCCUUUUCAACUUUUUAAAGAAGAUGGCUUGGAACAUAGUAGCAAAUAUUUCUACUUUACUCCGUAUGUUCUCCGUUAAUCUUGAGAAAAUUUAUUGGUAAUUUCUAGUGACAAAAGGAGCAAAUGGAGUUUUAACCAUAAGAAGAACAAGAUUUGAAGCUAAGUAUGCAAUGUUAUUUUGACAUUUUCAGACUAUCUUUAUGUGCCUUUUAGGGUGUAACAAGAACCUUUUCUUUUGUUUUUCACCUUUGGAUGUAUAGCUUCUAUUUCUACAAUUUUAGUCAUCAUUUUUGGAGAAUUUGGUCCUGAAAAUUGUCAGAAGUUGCUGUUACUAUGCAGAGUCAAGAAGUCAAGUCUUUCUACUGGUGUCAAUGCUGCAAAAGCUAAUGUGAACAUUACUUUUUUUCUUCACCUUUCUUUUCCCUAAUAAAUCCGACCCUUCUUAUACGUUAAUUUGUUUCACAUAUUGUUUCUUUUUGGCAAAUUUUACCAAUAAGCUAAAGACUAGUAAUAUAGAAAGUAUUUAGAAGUUAUGAAACUUGAUCCUAUAAGAUAUCUGGUGAGCUAACCAGAGUUACAAUUCACAAAACUUCAGCUAGCUUUCCUCUUCUUGCAGUAGGAUUCAAUAUGGCUUUGGCUGCUUCUUUUAUUUGCUUCCUUUUAUCUUUUCUUCUGAUCUUAGUUCAGGCAAAUGGCAGAAACGAUUCUAGUUGUCCAAAGUCCUUUUCUUGUGGGAAUCUUACUGAUCUGAGCUUUCCUUUCUCUCUUUCCACACAACCUGAUUGUGGAAUAAUCCCUCUAUCUGGUUGUGAUGCUAAACCUCAUCCCAGAAUCCAACUGCUUCCUGGAGGAGAUUGGUACUAUGCUUUAGAGAAGCAAUAUUCAUCAAUUUGGCUUGGGGACGCGAAGUUUCAAACGACAUUGAAUCAACACAAGUGCCAGGCUUUUAACAAAGAUUUCUUCCUUCCAAUCUCUCCUUCUGUUUCUUUCCCUAUACUUAAUCUUUACAACUUCUUCAAAUGCAACAGCACCACUAAUAAUACCCCGAGCAUUACCCAGAAGAAGAACGAUCAUUUUGCUGGUUAUAAAAUGUACAAUGGCUGUAAAGGCUUCAGCAUAUACUACAAGCUUCCCGGAGAUGAUGAUGUUAAAGACAUUCCAGCAGACAAUCUUCCUACCAACUGUUCACUUAUCAGAUUGCCAUUUCACUCUGUAUCCGGAGAUGGUGAUUUGUUUGACUUGUUAGGUCCCGAAAUUCAUGUAGAAUGGAAACUCUCUGAGGACUGUAGCCGAUGCCACUAUGGUGGAGGUCAAUGCCAGACUGAUAAAACCAACAGAUUUUAUUGUCACGAAGGUAGACAUCUCCAAAAUAAUUUAUACUUUCUAGGCCAAGUACAUGUUUCCUUAGUCUCUUUCUUGUCCCCCUUUUGUAGAUACAAACACAACUAGGGGUAGUACUGAUCAAAGAAAAGAAUCAACUCGAAGAAAUACAGUGGAGCUGAUUCUGGGUACAGGUAGUAAAAUAUAUUUAAUAGCUGCCAUGUUAUUUUUAUUACAGAAUUUUCAUGCAUAUCAUUUAAAUUUUCAUCAUUUUGUAUAAGCUCAAAACCUUUAUCUCGCGAUAAAGAAACAUAAAGAAGAGACUUAAAUUAUUUAGGUAACACAAAACGUAUGGAUACUGGAGUUGAGGGAAAAUUCCUUCUCCUUGCUAUUUCUUUUUUCUUGUCCAAAGACAUGGAAUUACUGACUUCUCUUCCAGUUUUUGGUGGAGUAGGAUCGGUGAUGAUAACUUGUGCAGUUGUAUACUUUAUCUGGCGUUACAAGAAGAGUAAAUUUAGUCCAUCCCACUUCCUCUCGACAAAGAAACUAUCAGAUAUUUUUAAUCACGAUGUUGAGGGAGGCAGUAUAUUCUUCGGUGUCCCAGUCUUCCCCUAUUCAGAACUUGAAGAGGCCACAAAUGAUUUCAAUUCCUCGAGAGUACUUGGAGAUGGAGGUUAUGGAACUGUUUACUAUGGUAAGAAACUUCCUAGUCCAACUAAGCUAUGCAUCAACUAUUUCUUCUUGUGGCUAAUUCUUGUCCAUCAAUGAACAGGAAAACUUAAGGAUGGUCGAGAGGUUGCUGUGAAGCGCCUCUACGAGCACAACUGCAAGCGAAUGGAGCAGUUUGUAAAUGAAAUUGAGAUCCUUACUAGACUAAGGCACAACAAUCUUGUCACCCUCUAUGGCUGCACUUCAAGGCGAAGCCGUGAACUACUCCUUGUCUAUGAAUACAUUCCUAAUGGAACUCUUGCUGAUCACCUCCAUGGUGACAGAGCGAAGGACGGAUUACUCACGUGGCCAAUCCGCAUGAACAUCGCCAUAGAAACUGCUGGUGCAUUGGCUUACCUGCAUGCUUCUGACAUAAUACACUGUGAUGUCAAGACUAAUAACAUACUCCUUGAUCACAACUUUAGUGUUAAAGUUGCAGAUUUUGGGAUUUCAAGGCUCUUCCCAAAUGAUGUCUCUCAUAUUUCAACUGCACCGCGGGGGACCCCUGGCUAUAUUGAUCCAAAGUAUCACGAAUGUUACCAGCUGACUAGUAAAAGCGAUGUUUAUAGCUUCGGGGUGGUUCUUGUUGAACUCAUUUCAUCCAUGCCAGCUGUGGAUAUGAGUAGGCAUAGCCAAGAGAUUAAUUUGGCUAACUUCGCAAUAAACAAGAUUAUAAAAUCUGCAUUUAACGAGCUGAUCGAUCCAUCUCUGGGGUUCGAUUCAGAUACCAAGAUUUGGGAAAUGGCAACUUCAGUGGCAGAACUGGCUUUUCUAUGCUUGCAGACAGAUAGGGAUGUGAGGCCUAGUAUGGUUGAAGUUUUGGAUAUUCUAAAGGAGAUUCAGACUAGUGAAUUUGACAAUGAGAAGAGAGCUAAAGUAGCAACAGCUCCUCCUUUCCCUGAAUCAGAAAAUUUGUUAUUGUUGAAGCAAGUCAAAUCACUACCUUCACCAAAUUCUUUGACUGAUAAUUGGUUUACUUGCUCUGAUAUAACUAGUACAACUAGUUAAAGUUC